UACACAUGCAGUCGACGGUAACAGGUCUUCGGAUGCUGACGAGUGGCGAACGGGUGAGUAAUACAUCGGAACGUGCCCGAUCGUGGGGGAUAACGGAGCGAAAGCUUUGCUAAUACCGCAUACGAUCUACGGAUGAAAGCAGGGGACCGCAAGGCCUUGCGCGGACGGAGCGGCCGAUGGCAGAUUAGGUAGUUGGUGGGAUAAAAGCUUACCAAGCCGACGAUCUGUAGCUGGUCUGAGAGGACGACCAGCCACACUGGGACUGAGACACGGCCCAGACUCCUACGGGAGGCAGCAGUGGGGAAUUUUGGACAAUGGGCGAAAGCCUGAUCCAGCCAUGCCGCGUGCAGGAUGAAGGCCUUCGGGUUGUAAACUGCUUUUGUACGGAACGAAAAGACUCCUUCUAAUAAAGGGGGUCCAUGACGGUACCGUAAGAAUAAGCACCGGCUAACUACGUGCCAGCAGCCGCGGUAAUACGUAGGGUGCAAGCGUUAAUCGGAAUUACUGGGCGUAAAGCGUGCGCAGGCGGUUAUAUAAGACAGAUGUGAAAUCCCCGGGCUCAACCUGGGAACUGCAUUUGUGACUGUAUAGCU
Molecule: ribosomal RNA, 593 nt
Filed under: unidentified microorganism
Description: bacterial SSU rRNA
Rfam family: Bacterial small subunit ribosomal RNA
Source: RNAcentral